This 422-nucleotide ribosomal RNA is filed under the name uncultured Roseburia sp. RNAcentral's name for it is "bacterial SSU rRNA". It matches the Rfam family "Bacterial small subunit ribosomal RNA", at positions 355 to 794 of the family's 1533-position model. Lineage: Bacteria; Bacillati; Bacillota; Clostridia; Lachnospirales; Lachnospiraceae. The record is from RNAcentral.
UGGGGAAUAUUGGGCAAUGGGGGAAACCCUGACCCAGCAACGCCGCGUGAAGGAAGAAGUAUUUCGGUAUGUAAAGCUCUAUCAGCAGGGGAGAUAAUGACGGUACCUGACUAAGAAGCACCGGCUAAAUACGUGCCAGCAGCCGCGGUAAUACGUAUGGUGCAAGCGUUAUCCGGAUUUACUGGGUGUAAAGGGAGCGCAGGCGGUGCGGCAAGUCUGAUGUGAAAGCCCGGGGCUCAACCCCGGUACUGCAUUGGAAACUGUCGUACUAGAGUGUCGGAGGGGUAAGUGGAAUUCCUAGUGUAGCGGUGAAAUGCGUAGAUAUUAGGAGGAACACCAGUGGCGAAGGCGGCUUACUGGACGAUAACUGACGCUGAGGCUCGAAAGCGUGGGGAGCAAACAGGAUUAGAUACCCUGGUAGU